UUUCGUGCUCCGGGAUCGGUGAAAGUCCGAACCGGCGGUCAUAGUCCGCGACCCGAAUCAUGCGCAGCCCGCUGUGCAUGACUUGGUUGAACCGGUGGAAUUCCGGCACCGACAGUCACAGUCUGGAUGGGAGAAGCACGAGA
This 143-nucleotide non-coding RNA is filed under the name Nesterenkonia sp. RNAcentral describes it as "FMN sequence". It matches the Rfam family "FMN riboswitch aptamer (RFN element)". Rfam says of the family: The RFN element is a highly conserved domain that is found frequently in the 5'-untranslated regions of prokaryotic mRNAs that encode for flavin mononucleotide (FMN) biosynthesis and transport proteins. This element is a metabolite-dependent riboswitch that directly binds FMN in the absence of proteins. Lineage: Bacteria; Bacillati; Actinomycetota; Actinomycetes; Micrococcales; Micrococcaceae. The record is from RNAcentral.